This 497-nucleotide ribosomal RNA is filed under the name uncultured bacterium. Its description in RNAcentral is "partial 16S ribosomal RNA". It matches the Rfam family "Bacterial small subunit ribosomal RNA", at positions 28 to 507 of the family's 1533-position model. The record is from RNAcentral.
GAUGAACGCUGGCGGCGUGCCUAAUACAUGCAAGUCGAGCGAACAGACGAGGAGUUUGCUCCUCUGACGUUAGCGGCGGACGGGUGAGUAACACGUGGAUAACCUACCUAUAAGACUGGGAUAACUUCGGGAAACCGGAGCUAAUACCGGAUAAUAUAUUGAACCGCAUGGUUCAAUAGUGAAAGACGGUUUUGCUGUCACUUAUAGAUGUAUCCGCGCUGCAUUAGCUAGUUGGUAAGGUAACGGCUUACCAAGGCAACGAUGCGUAGCCGACCUGAGAGGGUGAUCGGCCACACUGGAAGUGAGACACGGUCCAGACGCCUGCGGGAGGCAGCAGUAGGGAAUCUUCCGCAAUGGGCGAAAGCUUGACGGAGCAACGCCGCGUGAGUGAUGGAGGUCUUCGGAUCGUAAAACUCUGUUAUGAGGGAAGAACAAAUGUGUAAGUAACUAUGCACGUCUUGACGGUACCUAAUCAAAAAGCCACGGCUAACUACGUG